CGCUCGGAAGGCCUAGUGGUUAGAGCAUCUGCCUCAGAUGCGGGAGGUCAUAGGUUCAAUCCUUGGUCGAGUCA
Non-coding RNA from Potamilus streckersoni, 74 nucleotides. The record is from the annotation of a GenBank genome assembly. NCBI's taxonomy places the organism in Eukaryota, Metazoa, Mollusca, Bivalvia, Unionida, Unionidae.